AUUGUGCACACACACAUACAGACAUACAUGAACACGUGCACUCUGAUUCAUCUUAGUUAUAUUUUUUAUACAAUACAAUAAAAUACAAAUCUUUCCUUCAUCUUAUCUCCCUUUAUUUUGGAAUGCUUCCUCUAUUUGAUCACUAUAAGGUAUUUUCUGCACUUUAGUCCGGGUGUUAUAUUGUAUGGCAUAUUUACAAAUGUUACAUAUCCUUCUGUUUGUGUAUGGGAGGGGCUGAACUCCUGGGUCUCACUCCCAGUUGGGGAUCUGUGGAUUCAUGGCUGUUGACAGGGCAAUAUGGGCAAGAUCAGGGGACCAUGGCUGCUUCUGCUCUCCCUGC
This 340-nucleotide long non-coding RNA is filed under the name Bos taurus (domestic cattle). Its description in RNAcentral is "long non-coding RNA NONBTAT000371". The record is from RNAcentral. Lineage: Eukaryota; Metazoa; Chordata; Mammalia; Artiodactyla; Bovidae.